Molecule: ribosomal RNA, 576 nt
Filed under: Curvularia lunata
Lineage: Eukaryota; Fungi; Ascomycota; Dothideomycetes; Pleosporales; Pleosporaceae
Description: eukaryotic LSU rRNA
Rfam family: 5.8S ribosomal RNA (bases 208-361)
Source: RNAcentral
CGGAGGGAUCAUUACACAAUAAAAUAUGAAGGCUGUACGCGGCUGUGCUCUCGGGCCAGUUUUGCGGAAGGCUGAAUUAUUUAUUUACCCUUGUCUUUUGCGCACUUGUUGUUUCCUGGGCGGGUUCGCCCGCCACCAGGACCACAUCAUAAACCUUUUUUUAUGCAGUUGCAAUCAGCGUCAGUAUAACAAAUGUAAAUCAUUUACAACUUUCAACAACGGAUCUCUUGGUUCUGGCAUCGAUGAAGAACGCAGCGAAAUGCGAUACGUAGUGUGAAUUGCAGAAUUCAGUGAAUCAUCGAAUCUUUGAACGCACAUUGCGCCCUUUGGUAUUCCAAAGGGCAUGCCUGUUCGAGCGUCAUUUGUACCCUCAAGCUUUGCUUGGUGUUGGGCGUUUUUUUGUCUUUGGUCGCCCAAAGACUCGCCUCAAAAGGAUUGGCAGCCGGCCUACUGGUUUCGCAGCGCAGCACAUUUUUGCGCUUGCAAUCAGCAAAAGAGGACGGCAAUCCAUCAAGACUCCUUUUCACAUUUUGACCUCGGAUCAGGUAGGGAUACCCGCUGAACUUAAGCAUAUCA